This 478-nucleotide ribosomal RNA is filed under the name uncultured bacterium. RNAcentral's name for it is "bacterial SSU rRNA". It matches the Rfam family "Bacterial small subunit ribosomal RNA", at positions 501 to 981 of the family's 1533-position model. The record is from RNAcentral.
CUACGUGCCAGCAGCCGCGGUAAUACGGAGGAUGCGAGCGUUAUCCGGAUUUAUUGGGUUUAAAGGGUGCGUAGGCGGCCUGUUAAGUCAGCGGUGAAAUCUAGGAGCUUAACUCCUAAAUUGCCAUUGAUACUGGCGGGCUUGAGUGUAGAUGAGGUAGGCGGAAUGCGUGGUGUAGCGGUGGAAUGCAUAGAUAUCACGCAGAACUCCGAUUGCGUAGGCAGCUUACUAAGGUACAACUGACGCUGAAGCACGAAAGCGUGGGUAUCAAACAGGAUUAGAUACCCUGGUAGUCCACGCAGUAAACGAUGAUAACUGGGCGUAUGCGAUAUACAGUAUGCUCCUAAGCGAAAGCGUUAAGUUAUCCACCUGGGGAGUACGCCGGCAACGGUGAAACUCAAAGGAAUUGACGGGGGCCCGCACAAGCGGAGGAACAUGUGGUUUAAUUCGAUGAUACGCGAGGAACCUUACCCGGGAU